CGACGCCGCGUGCGGGAUGAGGCCUUCGGGUUGUAAACCGCUUUCAGCAGGGAAGAAGCGAAAGUGACGGUACCUGCAGAAGAAGCACCGGCUAACUAUGUGCCAGCAGCCGCGGUAAUAA
Molecule: ribosomal RNA, 121 nt
Filed under: uncultured Nostocoides sp.
Lineage: Bacteria; Bacillati; Actinomycetota; Actinomycetes; Micrococcales; Intrasporangiaceae
Description: uncultured Tetrasphaera sp. partial 16S ribosomal RNA
Rfam family: Bacterial small subunit ribosomal RNA
Source: RNAcentral